RNAcentral lists this long non-coding RNA (431 nucleotides) under Nicotiana tabacum (common tobacco). RNAcentral describes it as "long non-coding RNA (NTAB_LNC015205)". Lineage: Eukaryota; Viridiplantae; Streptophyta; Magnoliopsida; Solanales; Solanaceae. The record is from RNAcentral.
GGAGAAACUCUAAUUCUGACCAACUGGGGAAAACUUCAGUUUAGGGUUUGGGCCCUAAUGUUGACUGAAUGGAAAAGUUCAGUUUAGGGUUUAAAACCCUAAUGCUGACUAAUGGAAAAGUUCAGUUUAUGAUUUAAAACCCUAAUGCUGACUAAAGGAAAAAGUUCAGUUUAGGGUUUAAAACCCUAAUGCUGACUGAAUGGAAAAGUUCAGUUUAGGGUUUAAAACCCUAAUGCUGACUAAAGGAAAAGUGUUCAGUUUAGGGUUUAAAAUCCUAAUGCUGACUAAAGGAAAGAGUUCAGUUUAGGGUUUAAAACCCUAAUGCUGACUUAAGGAAAAGAGUUCAGUUUAGGGUUUAAAACCCUAAUGCUGACUAAAGGAAAAGUUCAGUUUAGGGUUUAAAACCCUAAUGCUGACUGAAUGAAAAAGUU